Molecule: ribosomal RNA, 815 nt
Filed under: uncultured fungus
Lineage: Eukaryota; Fungi
Description: SSU rRNA
Rfam family: Eukaryotic small subunit ribosomal RNA
Source: RNAcentral
GUGCCAGCAGCCGCGGUAAUUCCAGCUCCAAUAGCGUAUAUUAAAGUUGUUGUGGUUAAAAAGCUCGUAGUUGAACCUUGGGCCUGGCUGGCCGGUCCGCCUCACCGCGUGCACUGGUCCGGCCGGGCCUUUCCCUCUGUGGAACCCCAUACCCUUCACUGGGCGUGGCGGGGAAACAGGACAUUUACUUUGAAAAAAUUAGAGUGCUCCAGGCAGGCCUAUGCUCGAAUACAUUAGCAUGGAAUAAUAAAAUAGGACGCGCGGUUCUAUUUUGUUGGUUUAUAGGACCGCCGUAAUGAUUAAUAGGGACAGUCGGGGGCAUCAGUAUUCAACUGUCAGAGGUGAAAUUCUUGGAUCAGUUGAAGACUAACUACUGCGAAAGCAUUUGCCAAGGAUGUUUUCAUUAAUCAGGAACGAAAGUUAGGGGAUCGAAGACGAUCAGAUACCGUCGUAGUCUUAACCAUAAACUAUGCCGACUAGGGAUCGGACGGUGUUAUUCAUGACCCGUUCGGCACCUUACGAGAAAUCAAAGUGCUUGGGCUCCAGGGGGAGUAUGGUCGCAAGGCUGAAACUUAAAGAAAUUGACGGAAGGGCACCACCAGGGGUGGAGCCUGCGGCUUAAUUUGACUCAACACGGGGAAACUCACCAGGUCCAGACACAAUAAGGAUUGACAGAUUGAGAGCUCUUUUCUUGAUUUUGUGGGUGGUGUGCAUGGCCGUUCUUAGUUGGUGGGGGUGACUUGUCUGCUUAAUUGCGAUACGAACGAGACCUUAACCUGCUAAAUAGCCCGCAUUGCUCCGGCAGUGCGCUGGCU